AGGAUAGCCAUUGGAAACGAUGGAUAAAACUGGAUAGGAUAUAGAGGAAGAAUCUUUUAUAUUUAAAAGAGAGAUCUGCUUAAGGAGGGGCCUGUGGCGCAUUAGCUAGUUGGUGGGGUAAGGGCCUACCAAGGCGAUGAUGCGUAGCCGGACUGAGAGGUUGAACGGCCACAAUGGAACUGAGAACGGUCCAUACUCCUACGGGAGGCAGCAGUAGGGAAUUUUCGGCAAUGGGGGGAACCCUGACCGAGCAACGCCGCGUGAACGAAGAAGUUAUUCGUAAUGUAAAGUUCUUUUAUCAGGGAAGAAAGAGGAAUUUGACGGUACCUGAGGAAUAAGCUCCGGCUAACUACGUGCCAGCAGCCGCGGUAAUACGUAGGGAGCGAGCGUUAUCCGGAAUUAUUGGGCGUAAAGGGUGCGUAGAUGGCAUAGUAAGUCUUUUGUAAAAAUGCUGGGCUCAACCCUGUAGGGCAAAAGAUACUGCAAAGCUAGAGUAUGACAGAGGCAAGUGGAACUACAUGUGUAGCGGUAAAAUGCGUAAAUAUAUGUAAGAACACCAGUGGCGAAGGCGGCUUGCUGGGUCGAUACUGACAUUGAGGCACGAAAGCGUGGGGAGCAAACAGGAUUAGAUACCCUGGUAGUCCACGCCCUCCACAAUGGGUACUAAGUGUUGGUGAGAAUCAGUGCUGAAG
This 692-nucleotide ribosomal RNA is filed under the name uncultured bacterium. RNAcentral describes it as "bacterial SSU rRNA". It matches the Rfam family "Bacterial small subunit ribosomal RNA", at positions 140 to 851 of the family's 1533-position model. The record is from RNAcentral.